AGACCCCUCCAGCCCUCAGCCAGGACUUGUCACAGCCACUGAACUCACUGCCAUGUUGUUCCUUGCAUCAUCAGACAAAAGCAGUGCUAGAGAGGAGGACAAGAGUUCAAAGCCCGUCACAAAAGGGCCUCUCACAAAAAGUAAGGAGUUUUGUCCUGUGGGGCUGCCAGCCUUUGAAGCCAAGCAGUUCAUUUUCCCCUUGGAAUUCAUCUUCUGGACCAGGAUGCACUAAAGGAGAGGCGACCUGCUGUAGAUAACGGUUCCUUUCUAAUGCCUUCCUAGAAAAUCUCUCGUUAAUGAGCCCAUUAAUUUAAUGGCGGCUGGGGCAAAUCAUCCAGAGAGAACACUUCAGUUGCAAUCUGCAUGCCCCACCUUAUAUUCUUGAGAAUGAGCUCUGCAAACACAUCAGGAAAAGGGAAGAGCACAUCAUUGGCAAUUCAAGGAACAGAGGAUGCUCUGUCACCUAAAGAGCUUUUAUUUACCUGUGAGACUGCAACAGCAGCAGGCCUUGUGCCAUGCAGCAGAUAUUUGUGCUUGGAAGAUGCCUUUAUCAAGCUCUAGCCCAGGAGAAUCAAAGCUUACAUCACUUCCACCCUUAGGUUACUAAACCAGUCCUGGGUUGCUAUGCAUGUUGGUGGGAGCUGCUCUCUGUGCUGCUGCCCUCUCCUUGGCUUUGACUCACCGACCAUCCUCACCUCUGGGAAGAGGUGAACUUCACCCCUAACCCGUGUGCCCAAGGUCAGGCAGAAGGACUGGGUCUCUGUGUUGCUCAGCCUCCCCUGUCCUUUCUCUCCUAUCCACCAUUGGAGAUCAAGCUGUGACUGCUGUUCCUCUGCUGGCUACAUGCAAAUGGAAACUAUCACCAUAACAGCACCUUGCUCCUUUAAAUUGCUUCCAGGAUUUUUGUGCAUCAGUGACUCAGUACCAUAUUUCAAUACAGCAAACUUUAAAGGUGCUUAAUACAUUUUAUAAAAAAAAAAGAUAAUUGCAAAAAAAUAAGCACUGAUGUUAGCUUAGGAGAAAAUCUUUUAAAGUGUUUUUGUUUUGCUAACAGAAUGCUGCUAUGUAUUAUUCAUUACAGCUUCUGAGAUUUAAUUAUUAUUAGUGCAACUGAUGAUUGCUAGAAAAAUAAACUGUAGCAGAAG
This 1145-nucleotide long non-coding RNA is filed under the name Gallus gallus (chicken). Its description in RNAcentral is "lncRNA (ENSGALG00000050361.1)". The record is from RNAcentral. Lineage: Eukaryota; Metazoa; Chordata; Aves; Galliformes; Phasianidae.